AUAGUCCAUAACUGCCAUCCAGUGGAUCGAAGCAAUGGCAGUGUUGCACUUUGGUUU
This 57-nucleotide microRNA precursor is filed under the name Panagrellus redivivus. Its description in RNAcentral is "microRNA prd-mir-7891 precursor". Lineage: Eukaryota; Metazoa; Nematoda; Chromadorea; Rhabditida; Panagrolaimidae. The record is from miRBase by way of RNAcentral.